Molecule: ribosomal RNA, 520 nt
Filed under: uncultured bacterium
Lineage: Bacteria
Description: bacterial SSU rRNA
Rfam family: Bacterial small subunit ribosomal RNA
Source: RNAcentral
UGUGAAGAAGGCCUUCGGGUUGUAAAGCACUUUUGUCCGGAAAGAAAUCGCGCUGGCUAAUACCUGGCGUGGAUGACGGUACCGGAAGAAUAAGCACCGGCUAACUACGUGCCAGCAGCCGCGGUAAUACGUAGGGUGCGAGCGUUAAUCGGAAUUACUGGGCGUAAAGCGUGCGCAGGCGGUUUUGUAAGACAGGCGUGAAAUCCCCGAGCUCAACUUGGGAAUGGCGCUUGUGACUGCACGGCUAGAGUAUGUCAGAGGGGGGUAGAAUUCCACGUGUAGCAGUGAAAUGCGUAGAGAUGUGGAGGAAUACCGAUGGCGAAGGCAGCCCCCUGGGACGUCACUGACGCUCAUGCACGAAAGCGUGGGGAGCAAACAGGAUUAGAUACCCUGGUAGUCCACGCCCUAAACGAUGUCAACUAGUUGUUGGGGAUUCAUUUCCUCAGUAACGUAGCUAACGCGUGAAGUUGACCGCCUGGGGAGUACGGUCGCAAGAUUAAAACUCAAAUGAAUUGACGGA